GAGUGUGGUGUCACUCACGACCGCGACGUGAACGCGGCCAGGAACAUUCUCGCGGUCGGGCAUGGCCGUCCAGGAGUGGGAAUUCCCGCCCUUUAGGGCGGGGAGGAUGUCAAAUGUAGAAGGCC
RNAcentral lists this unclassified non-coding RNA (125 nucleotides) under Azotobacter beijerinckii. Its description in RNAcentral is "HgcC family RNA". Lineage: Bacteria; Pseudomonadati; Pseudomonadota; Gammaproteobacteria; Pseudomonadales; Pseudomonadaceae. The record is from RNAcentral.